UCUGCUUCUGUCCAUGAAGCUGCUCGCUGUGCUGUCAAUUCUCCAUGCAGAAACAGCAGGAAGGAGAGAUCAAUUCAUACAGUUUUAGGUACAGCAGCGAUUUGUGGGAUGACAAAUUUUAGACUUAUUCAUUUAACAGAAGAUAAUCCAGCCUAGAAGAACUACGAGAAAAAGCAAUGGCCCAAAACGUAAAGAAAGCCCCAGCAUCCAUUCUGUAGGCGCGUAAUGGAGUGAACAAGCAGCUUUUCAUCAUGGUUGAAACAAAGAAAUCAAAGCCCAGAAUUUCAUCAAGGAUAAAAAUACAAUGACCUUAAGACUGCUGCAGACAAGUCUACCUUUGGAGGAGGAGGGAAGCUUCUGACUAAGGCAGGCUGGACCAGCCUGGGUUCAUUUUAAGCCAAAGAACUGUGAGGCCUAAAUAACUCCAUUUUAAAAUUUGACUCCAUCUUAGAAUAAGGCAGUAAAGUGGACUAGACAUAAAUUCCACUUCACUGAAGUCAACUAUUCCCCUAGUUUCCUUUGUGCCCAUAAAGUAAUGAUAUACAGUUCCUGACUCAAUCCUCUGUUUGUCCGGGGCCCAUUAUCUAUAGAACAUUCCGUCAAUGUG
Molecule: non-coding RNA, 607 nt
Organism: Heterocephalus glaber (naked mole-rat)
Lineage: Eukaryota; Metazoa; Chordata; Mammalia; Rodentia; Bathyergidae
Source: RefSeq, a predicted model, not a curated record